Molecule: ribosomal RNA, 460 nt
Filed under: uncultured bacterium
Lineage: Bacteria
Description: partial 16S ribosomal RNA
Rfam family: Bacterial small subunit ribosomal RNA
Source: RNAcentral
CCUACGGGCGGCAGCAGUGAGGAAUAUUGGUCAAUGGGCUUACGCCUGAACCAGCCAAGUCGCGUGAGGGAAGACUGCCCUAUGGGUUGUAAAUCUCUUUUGUCAGGGAGCAACGCCGGCUACGUGUAGCCGGACUGAGAGUACCUGAAGAAAAAGCAUCGGCUAACUCCGUGCCAGCAGCCGCGGUAAUACGGAGGAUGCGAGCGUUAUCCGGAUUUAUUGGGGUUAAAGGGUGCGUAGGCGGAAUGCCAAGUCAGCGGUAAAAUCGCGGGGCUCAACCUCGCUCCGCCGUUGAAACUGGCGUUCUUGAGUGGGCGAGAAGUAUGCGGAAUGCGUGGUGUAGCGGUGAAAUGCUUAGAUAUCACGAAGAACUCCGAUUGCGAAGGCAGCCUGCUGGACUGUAACUGACGCUGAUGCUCGAAAGUGUGGGUAUCAAACAGGAUUAGAUACCCGAGUAGUC